This 1364-nucleotide long non-coding RNA is filed under the name Cinara cedri. The record is from RNAcentral. Lineage: Eukaryota; Metazoa; Arthropoda; Insecta; Hemiptera; Aphididae.
ACUUAAUUUGUAUUAUAGACUUUGCCUCAUUGAUGAUGCGCACGGCCUCGGAUGAGUGGAGCUAUAUAUUAUUUGAUAAAGGAUUAUUAGUAAAAAUAUUAACCUUAGUCAAUCAAUGGUUUAUGGUAAUAGCAAAUACUAUAUAAUAUAAGCUUUACGAAAUACGAAUUAUCAGUAGUGAAUAAGUGUUCAUUAUUUCAUCUUGAUAACAUUAAAUAUUCCUGUUUAAGAUUAAAUAAUACCAAUUACUUUAUAAUUUCACCUUUACACUAUUUUAAAAUUGUAACCUACACGUUACACUUCACGUUUUGGUGGCUUCGUAAAGUAUAAAUAUUUAAAAAAAUGACUGGUAAAGUAAUUUCAGUUUACGAAAGUACUCAAAAGUUGGGUGCUGAACUGGCGAAAAAUCUCUCUGAACUAGCCAAUGAUGUAUUAGCUGAAGGAGGAAAUGCGGUUUUCAAAAUUGGACUCUCUGGUAUAACAAAAAUAUUAGUAUAUUUUAUGAGAAAUAUAUGGUUUUUAACUCUUAUUUUUCAGGUGGAUCAGUAGUUUCAUUAUUAUCUGAAUAUUUAGCCAAAGUUGAAACUGACUGGUCAAAAUGGAGAUUUUUCUUUUGUGAUGAAAGACUAGUGAAUUUUAACGAUCCAGAAUCUACAUAUGCUCAAUAUAAGGACAAAUUUCUCACAAGUCUUCCCAUAACUGAAGACCAAUUUAUUAAAAUCAACCCUGAGUUAUCUGGUAAACUAUGGCAGGUGCAAGCUUGUUGUACAUAUUGAUGUUGGUCAAUAAAUAAUUUUUUGAUUUGUAGUUGAUGAAGCAGCAAAAGAUUACAUCCAAAAAAUGUCUGUUUAUUUUGCACCUUAUGACUUGCCUCGUUUUGAUGCAUUGAUAUUGGGUGUAGGUCCUGAUGGUCAUACAUGUUCUCUGUUCCCUGGACACAAAUUAUGUGAAGAAACAUCAGUGUGGGUCGCUCCCAUUUCUGAUUCACCCAAACCUCCAUCAAACAGAAUUACUUUUACAUUCCCAAUCCUAAAUAAUGCAAGGUACUGUGCUUUUAUAGCUAUUGGGAGCUCUAAAGCUGAUAUCUUAAAGGUAUGAAUCCAAAUUAAAACAUAUACAAGAUUUAGGUACAACUCAUUAGUAACAUUUUGACGGUGUUUUGUUAAAGGGGUUCUAUAAAAUUUCACUUUUUUUCAGGAAGUAAACAAACAGUUUUUAAUGAUGUUUAUCAUGGAAAAACAAUAAAAUUACUCAUACUCAUAAUACUUUGUAUACAAAGUAUACAUGCAUUGAAUGUGGUAUAUACCCUUUUAACAAAUCAGUGUUUAUUUAAUUAUAUUUUAAAGGAACCUCUGGAUAUCUUG